CUCUCCAAGCUGCUCCGAGGGGAAUGGGGAAUCGGCAGGAAAUGACCCGAACUGCCAGCCUGCGCCUUUGCAGCCGGCCCUCGCUUUGCUGAAGACGAGCAGCUCCCACCAAAGUCUUGCCUCCCCUUACCCCGAAAGCCCCGCUCAGUUCAAUAUUUCAAGUGAAAAUCUGCCUGUUCGAAAAGAAAAUAUUCACAAAUGAGCAGUGUAUUAGAAGACAACUGAAUUGCUUCUAAGAAUGGGUCUCACUCUGCCAUCACCCAGGCUGGAGUGUGGUGGCACCAUCAUGGCUCACUGCAGCCUUGAACUCCUGAGCUCAAGUCAUCCUCCCACCUCAGCCUUCCGAGUAGCUGGAACUGCAGGUGUGAGCCACCAUGCCUGGCUGAUUUGUCUUUUUAAAUUUUUUAUAGAGACCGAGUCUCAACUAUAUUGUCCAGGCUGGAAAAGAACUUCUUUCCCUCCAAGUGAUAACCUUUUCCAGACAAGUCAGCUUAAAAACUGACCCAAAGGCCCUGAAGUACACAGUUUUCUUGGAGAAAGAAAAAAAUAAGUGAAAAGGACUUGCUGACUUGCUAAUUCAUUUUGGGGCCUGUGGGUAACAUCAGAAUGGCAAAGCACUUGGGGCUUUUUUCUAAUUUGUAUUUUUUUAAUCUUCUGAGAAAUGACUUUUAUAUGCCAAGAUUCAUUCCAUGAUUAGUUUUUAUGACCAAGUUAUGAACGCUUUUGAAUAUGGGGACCUAGAAUAGAAAUGCUAACCUACCUGCAAGGAGAGCUCUGUGAUUGGCAUCCCCAUCAUGCUGUAACUGACACAAAAUAAACUUAGGGUAAUUGCCGCAUAGUGUAACUUUAAUGUGUGAGCAUACUGUAACAUCUGACAAGCUUCUUGAUCUAGAUCAGCAAUGUGUAACCCAUUCAUUGUUGUCACUCUCAACAAGGCCUUAUGGUCAAACAUCAUCACUCUCACUAAAGAGAUAGUUUACUGAAAUAUACUGAGAUUUUGAAACUGGAGUCAAGAGGUAGCACACUGUUUUAUGUUGAUCCAUUUAAUGGUCCUUGACAGCCAAUAAAAAGACACUGGAAGAAUACGUGAAUGCAGUAAUUGUUAAUAGGUCUAUUGAUAAUAUUUUCAACACCAGGUAGGGAGGGAGACAGGGAGGAGGAGGAAAGGAAGGAAGGGAGGAAAGGAGGAAGGGAGGAAGGGAGGGAGGGAGGGAGGAAGGGAGGGAGGGAAUGCUCUGACAUCUUACUCCAGAAAUAGAGCUGUUUUUAUAUAUUUUACUCCAUUAUUUUGGAUAUCAAUACUGACCAUACUGAGGUCUGUGGUCAUUUACACAGUUGGCCAAAUUUCACUGAAGUUUGUUUUUCAGAUUCUACUAGGUGUUUUCAUGUGGCAGUUGCCUAAUUUUUUACUAUAUUUAAGAUUUGUCCUUACGUUUUGGAUAUUCUGCCUUUGUUCUUCACAAAUGCUCAACUGUCAUAGAGGGUCUUCUGAUUUUUUUGGCAUGGGGUCACUCAACUAAAUUAUAGCUAGAUAAUAACUCCAAAGCCUAGUUCUCCUGGCUUUCCCUGCUGACCUACUCAUGUCCAGAUGUUCUCAUUUAUAAAGUGUGAGUCUUUGAAGAGUCAUUCUAAGAUUGCAGACUGCCAGGUUAUAUUCAAUACUCUGGACCUAAAUUAUUUGAUACAUUUUGGAAGAACCUGGUAGGUAGUGAGGAGGUGGGUGGGGUAUGGAGUCUUUGUUAGUCAGGAAAGAACAUUCUACUUGGGUUACUAAGGUAUCAGAUUAUUCAGUAAGGUAGACCAUUAAGAGCUAAGUUGCAUGGUGUGCACCUUAGUGCUUUAGGAAAUCAAAGGAAAGAAAUACCAAUGAGGACAGAAAGAGUUCUCCAGAGGAAGUAGACUGCAACUGUAUUUGUGAAGGAUGAGUGGCUGUGGAUGGAAGAAAAGAACAUUUUCAGUAAGGGGACAUGGUGGGUGAAAUGCUGAGGCAGGGAUGGGCUCAGUGUUCCCAGAGCUGUAAGGACCCCAAGAAAAUUUCACUUGUACUCUAUGUGCUUACUAUUUUUGUCUGUCCAGAGUGAAUCAGUUCUCCUAGAGACAGAUUUGACAGUCUGCACACAUUGAGAUCUGUUUCAUUUUAACUUUUCUUCUUGCUUCUCUCAAAUCUGGCUAAAAUACUAUUCUGGUCAUGUCAUUUUCCUGCUUCAGACCCCUCUAUGGCUCCCUGUUGCUCAGUCUCCUGAAGAUUUCAUGCCAGAUCUUUGCAUCCACCCCGCUCCCCCUGCCACCUUGAGCUUCAUUUAACAUCUGGACCCUUCUCACUUCUUGCGUCCCAGCUCCAGCCACCUGGAACUGGCAACUGCCAUACUCUCUCUUGCCUCUGGCCCCUCACAUAAAGCUCAGGUGUUGGUUUAAACAUCACUUCCACAGGAAGACCGGAUUAGGCUCCACUGCUAUUCCUUCUCACCCCUGCAGUGACCCCUUUCUUUUUUUUUUUUUUUUUUUUGUAUAGACAGCCAUUUUCAAGUUCAAACUCAUGAUCUUGGAGACACUUAGAUUUUCUCACAAAUUAUUUGCACAUUUUUAAUAGACUAUUUUUUAGGUAAUUUUACAUUCACAGCAAAGUUGAGGGGAAGGUACAGAGAUCUCACAUAUGCCCCUGCCACUCCCCAUGUUAUCAACACCCCCCACCAUCAACAUCCCCUACCAGAGUGGUACAUUUAAAACAAUUCAUGGACCUACAUGAACAUAUCAUUAUCACUCAAAGUCCAUAGUUUACAUCAGGAUUCAUUCAUAGUCUAUGGGUUUGGACAAAUGUAUAAUGACAUAUAUCUACCAUUAUUGUAUCAUACACAGUAGUUCCACUGCUUAAAAAAAAAAAACUCCUCUAUGCUCCAUCUAUUCAUCACUCACUGUCCCUAAGCACUGGAAACCACUGGUCUUUUUACUAUCUUCAUGGUUUUGCCUUUUCCAGAAUGUCAUAUAGUUGGAAUUAUUAUAGUAUAUAGCCUUUUUAGAUUGGCUUCAUUCACUUAGUAAAAUGCAUUUAACUUUGUUCCACAUCUUUUCAUGGCUUGAUAGCUAUUUUUAGUACUGAAUAAAUAUUUCAUUGUCUGGAUGUCCUCAAGCUUAUUUAUCCAUUCACAUACUGAAGGACACCAUGGUUGCUUCCAAAUUUCGGGAAUUGUGGAUAAAGCUGCCAUAAACAUCUGUAUGCAGGUUUAUGUGUGGACACAUUUUAAUUACUUAAAUAUCUGCCAUCCUCAUGAGACAUAAACUCCUUGCAAUGAAAAACCAUAUUUGACUUGAUCAGUUGUGACCAGCAGAGAACCUGGACCCUAUUCAUUCAUUCAUUCAUUCAAAAAUUUAUAUUAAAUACUUGUCAUGUGCCCUAAUGCAACAGAGAGCAAAACAAACAAAAAUUCUGUCCUCACAUUCUGCCUGGGAAGAUCAACACUAAAAUGAGCCAAAACUAAAAAAUACAGUAUGUAUAUAUUUAUAGUAUAGCAAUAAAUAUGUGGGAGAAAUAUAAAGCAAGGAAGGAGAACAGAAAGUGCCGGGUGCAAGGCGAACUUUAGACAGAGCGGCCAGGGGAGGCCUCACUAAGAGGAUGACAUUUGAACAAAGACCUGGAGGAAGCAAGGACGAGUCAUGCAGAUAGCUGGAGAGGAGCCAUCAGACUGAAGAAACAGCAAGUGCAAAGUCCCUGUCCUGCCGUGUGCCCUGGCACGUUAAGCAGGUCACUUGGGCUGAAGCAGAAAGAGCAAGGAGAGGGGAGUUAGGAAUUGAAGUCAGAAUCCAGGGCAGGCUCCAUCCUGGCCUCACUGUCCACCUUCCAGCAGAUGUGGAUCAGCAAGCGGGAAUACGAGUCCAGCCCCUCCGCUGUCCGCUGCAAAUGCCUCUAGGCAGACUGUUACUUAGUUGCGUUAUACCCUUUCUUGCCAAAACCUAUCUAUGGGCAAAAAACAAGAUUGGCAAGGCUUUUGUUUUGUUUUGUUUUUGGAUUGACUCAGGAUUUAAAAAAACUAGACCGAUGAAGGUGACAGCAGUCAGUUGGAGUGAGCAUCCCCCAAAGUUCUGCAAUGUGUCUGAGGACUUUGAUUAAUCUUUUUUUAAGUCAUUCCAAAUAUCGUGAGAUGCAUUGUUACAGGAAGACGCUUGCCAUCCCCAAAACCACCCCACUUCUCUCUAAGGAGAAUGGCCCAGUCCUCUCCCGAGUCCCACACAUGGGAGGUGAUAGCAGUGCUUUCAAUGUAAAUAAGCUCUCACCAUGUGACGUGCCUGCUUCCACUUCUCCUUCUACCAUGAUUGGAAGAUUCCUGAGGCCUUCACCAGAAGCCUAGCAGAUGCUGGUGCCAUGCUUGUACAGCCUGCAGAAACAUGAGCCAAUUAAAGCCCUUUCGUUUAUAAAUUACCCAGCAUCAGUUUAAUGUGACUCACUUAUUUUCUUUUAUGCUUUUAAAGCCAACAUGUCCAUUUCCACCCUCCACCCUCAUUCUCACAUUAAGCUAUGGAGAGGGGGAAUAUUUGUACUUUUUUCAUGGUCUUCCAAAGGAUGGACAUACUACUGCCACGAGAGAAAUUGCUGGUCAGAGAGAAGCAAUUCCUUAGAGAAAGCAACCCACAUAUCAUCACCCAAGAGAGCUGAACCAUUGCCAACAUCUCCAUCAGGAACUUGGAAGAGUUUUCUGUCUUCCCAACACAAUAAAACUGGAGACACGAGCAUGCAGAGCUCCAGCCAGCACAAUUACAUAAAGCCAAAGCACAUUAUCACUUGCAGGCUGCAGGAUUUAUGGCCAACUAUGAUGGAAAAUACAGAGAUACUUUACUUGUCUGAAUUCAACACUCAAAAAAGAUAGUAUGUAUUAUAUUAAUGAUAGAGAAAAGUUGUAUAUAUUGUACUUUUUCUAAUGAAAACCUUAGUAAACAGAGCAGAAACAGAUGCCAGCAUCUUAGAGAAGAAAGAAAAAUGGAAAAGAUUGCCAGUUUGCUCCUCUUCAGACAAUAUGCAAUUGCUGUUCUUGUUGAAAAAUUCCUUUCAAAUGCAUUGAGGCAGCAUUUCUAUUUUGGUGGUUUUCUGCAUUUGAGUUGCUGCUUCUAACUUGAGUGGAACAGAGAAGUUUGUAUUCUCUAUGGGUGUCUGCUGUUCCAAGUAUGAAGCAGUGAAGCUAAAAUCACUUUACUUCUAGAAACCUGUGAUUUCCAUUUGCCAUGAGGUUAGCACUUCCUCUGGCAGUGCCUUUGCCACGAACUGUCAUAGAACCAUGCUGUUUAUCUAGCAUAGCAUUCUUCUUUAUCAUAGCUGCUUACCACUUGUUUCUGCUCUGGAAUGCACCCUGUACGUGCAGGUUAUGUGGUGUCCUGGCCCAGUGCUGGCACACGGUGAGCACUCACAAAAAUAUUGAAGAGCUCUCUUCAGGUUGUAAUUUUAUGUUACCAAUGUUUUUACACAGUUGGUUUGCAUUAUGAGUACACAGUGAGAAGGUAAACCAGUGUGCUGUUUGUCUAUCGUUUCCAAAUUUUGAAUUAUUUAAAUACAUGUUAGUGAAAUCACUGUUUAUCAGAACCAAAAUUGCAAUCUUAAAACUUCUGCAAGAUAGAAAAGAUUGUUUAACAAAGGAAGGAAAAUAUUACAAAAACAGAUUUCUCUCUUAAUUUUGUCAGUGCUUGGACUUGGUCCCCAAAUCUUAAAAGUGAAUUUGUUUCCAGAACACCUGAAACAGAGACCACAUUUUUAUGUUUGCCUUUUUGCAGUGAAGUUUACAUUAGGGAGCUAUAUUUUCCUUAUAUUUAUUUUUAAAUCAUUUGGGCUUUCCAAUAAAAUAGCAUUCUCAUUUUCUUCCCUCUUCCCAGAUUAAUGCAUUUAUUAUUUUAAUGCAUGAAGGGGUCCACGUGGCGCUAUGGUUGGUGGCUGGGAUGCUCUGGAGUGGUGCGCUUGGAAAACAAUGUGUUAUUUGCACUUGAGAAAAUACUUUGUUGGCUAAGUGUCUAGGCACUGAAACAGUAACAGUUCAUCAAAAGACAGUUAUCCCAGAUACGCUUCCAAGAGUGGCAAUCAGUUUUCCUAAAGAGUCAAAGAAAAGAGUGAGAAUUGUGGGAAGUGGGAGACUAGAAGGACAGACUCAUUUGGAAACAGGAAGUGGUUCAAGGAACUUAGGAUUUGGAAUAUAGGAAAAGAAAUGGGGAAACAUACCCAUGCCUUCUCUUCUCUGUAGACAUCCAAUUUGAACCUACUCCAGAUUAGUAGGAAGUAAAAUCAUUAUCUGAUGUUCUGUGGCCACAUGGAAAAUACAUUGGUAGUUGCAACCAGACUAGAGUCAACAUUGAGAAACCAAUAGAACCACUAACUUGGGCUGGUGAGGCACAGCUACUGGUCAAAACCUGCCCAGGAGGCCCAGUACCACUCACAGUCAGGAUCGGGGUCAUGGUAGGGGAAGGUCAGCUAGCUUACUGCAGCCCAUCUCUGAUGGGGAGGUGAGGACUUCCAGCCCUGGGCUGCUCAUUCACCUCCCCUCUGGAGCAGUAAACAGGGAAGUAGCAAGAAGCUAAGCUCCUUUUGUUAGGCAUUGUUAAUUCCUCCAAGGUGACCAUUGAUGUAUUUUUUAUUCAGUAACUUAGCAUAUAUGUGUGUGCACAAUUAAUAGUUAUAUAUAAUAAAAGUGAAUAUAUUAAAAUUUAAAAAAAUAAAUUAUGAUCAUUGCACAAUUCUGUGACUAUACUACAAACCAUUAAAAUGUAUACUUUAAAUGGGUGUUUUUUAUGUUAUUUAUGUGAUUAUGUCUCAAUAAAGAUGUUUUAAAACCAUAAAUGUUUUUAUCCAUUAUUUUCCCUAAAAAAUCAUGCAUUGGGUUUUGUUAUUAUCAUUGACUUCCUUCCUUCUGUGUUUUUAUAUUGCCUUCUUCAAGUCUUGGUGAUCCCAGGAUAUACUCCAGAACUGAUAAAUGUUGGCUAAUGAAUUGUAGCUUUAUUCCAGUUUUAGCACUGCCAGGCCAGGCUAUAUUGUCUGUGUUAUGGGGUCAGUAUGAAAAAUUUUACUAAAAAAUGAAACUGACCCAGAGAGAGGCUCUUCAUGAGCUCCUGCACUUCCUCCUACUCACCUCACCUCCCAGGGUGCUCCUUGCCUUCUCUGGGUAUUGAUGCUUAUUGUGAUCUUGUGUACCAUAAUUUGAAAGGUAUUCUCUGAUACCUUCCACUACUACACUCUGUGGUUACAGAAGAGAUUGGU
This 7225-nucleotide long non-coding RNA is filed under the name Homo sapiens (human). RNAcentral describes it as "non-protein coding LINC01116:16". Lineage: Eukaryota; Metazoa; Chordata; Mammalia; Primates; Hominidae. The record is from RNAcentral.